Molecule: ribosomal RNA, 305 nt
Filed under: uncultured bacterium
Lineage: Bacteria
Description: partial 16S ribosomal RNA
Rfam family: Bacterial small subunit ribosomal RNA
Source: RNAcentral
ACAGCAGCCGCCGCGGGAAUACGGAGGGUGCAAGCGUUAUCCGGAUUUAUUGGGUUUAAAGGGUCCGUAGGCGGAUCUGUAAGUCAGUGGUGAAAUCUCACAGCUUAACUGUGAAACUGCCAUUGAUACUGCAGGUCUUGAGUAAAUUUGAAGUGGCUGGAAUAAGUAGUGUAGCGGUGAAAUGCAUAGAUAUUACUUAGAACACCAAUUGCGAAGGCAGGUCACUAAGAUUUAACUGACGCUGAUGGACGAAAGCGUGGGGAGCGAACAGGAUUAGAUACCCCCGUAGUCCCUGUCUCUUAUAC